GAUGAACGCUGGCGGCGUGCUUAACACAUGCAAGUCGAACGGAAAGGCCCAAGCUUGCUUGGGUACUCGAGUGGCGAACGGGUGAGUAACACGCGGGUGAUCUGCCCUGCACUUCGGGAUAAGCCUGGGAAACUGGGUCUAAUACCGGAUAGGACCACAUUUUGGAUGGUGUGGUGGAAAGUUUUUCGGUGUGGGAUGAGCUCGCGGCCUAUCAGCUUGUUGGUGGGGUAAUGGCCUACCAAGGCGUCGACGGGUAGCCGGCCUGAGAGGGUGUACGGCCACAUUGGGACUGAGAUACGGCCCAGACUCCUACGGGAGGCAGCAGUGGGGAAUAUUGCACAAUGGGCGCAAGCCUGAUGCAGCGACGCCGCGUGGGGGAUGACGGCCUUCGGGUUGUAAACUCCUUUCGCUAGGGACGAAGCGCAAGUGACGGUACCUGGAGAAGAAGCACCGGCUAACUACGUG
This 465-nucleotide ribosomal RNA is filed under the name uncultured bacterium. Its description in RNAcentral is "partial 16S ribosomal RNA". It matches the Rfam family "Bacterial small subunit ribosomal RNA", at positions 28 to 507 of the family's 1533-position model. The record is from RNAcentral.